Molecule: ribosomal RNA, 501 nt
Filed under: uncultured bacterium
Lineage: Bacteria
Description: bacterial SSU rRNA
Rfam family: Bacterial small subunit ribosomal RNA
Source: RNAcentral
AACAACGCUGGCGGCGUGCCUAACACAUGCAAGUCGAACGCGAAAAUCGGCUUCGGCCGAUGAGUAAAGUGGCGCACGGGUGAGUAACGCGUGGAUAAUCUACCCUUCAGUUGGGAAUAACUUAUCGAAAGGUGAGCUAAUACCGAAUAAAACUGCCUGACCACGGUCGGGUAGUCAAAGAUAGCCUCUGCUUGCAAGCUUUCGCUGAAUGAUGAGUCCGCGUACCAUUAGCUAGUUGGUGGGGUAAUGGCCCACCAAGGCGACGAUGGUUAGCUGGUCUGAGAGGAUGAUCAGCCACACUGGAACUGAGACACGGUCCAGACUCCUACGGGAGGCAGCAGUGAGGAAUCUUGCGCAAUGGGGGAAACCCUGACGCAGCAACGCCGCGUGAGUGAGGAAGGUCUUCGGAUCGUAAAGCUCUGUCGGGUGGAAAGAAAUGUAUGGGGUUAAUAGCCUUCAUACUUGACGGUACCACCAAAGGAAGCACCGGCUAACUCCGUG